AAGAAAAAUAAAAUGAAAUAACAAGUUAUACAGAAACAGAAACAGGCAUUAUAUACAGCAUAAGCAAAUUGUAACACUCUCUUUUUAUUUUUUUUAUCUGAUAAUAAAUUUAAUUAAGAGAAAGGAAGGAAAUUAAGGUGCAGAAGAAGGUAUCCUCCUAUGAAACCCAAGCAAAAACAUAAAACAAGACUAAAAGAGUAACACUCCAAUCAAAAUAAAUAACAAUUAACAAAAACUCACUGAAAAUUCAUGAAUCAUAAUCCCACAAUGAAGCUAAAAAAACAACAGGAUAAUUUAUAACUAAAUCCCUGAGGUAUAGCAAAACCCAUAGGUUAGUCCCCGAUAUGUUUUCAAGGACCAAAUCAUUAUUUAAAAACGAACCAGGGACUAACCUGUGGAUUUUGCUAUACCUUAGGGGCUUAAUUGUAAAUUACCCAUAAAAUAAUAACAACAGAUUGUCCCACAACAAAUCAAAUGACAUUUUGAAAAUAUGUUAAUUUCUCUCCAUCCAAAAAUUCCACAAUACUGCCAAAAACUCCACAAUACUGCCAAAAACACACACUUAGAAUUCCAUAGAAUUUUGUCAUCUUUCCAGCCACCAAACCCUCUCCAUUUUAGUAUAACUAAGAUCCCUAGCAUAUCCAAUGUUCCUCAAAAAUUCUGAAAAGCUGAUUCUGAAUUGCCAAGGCCAACAAGUUCUCAUCAGUUUUAU
This 712-nucleotide unclassified non-coding RNA is filed under the name Hevea brasiliensis (rubber tree). The record is from RNAcentral. Lineage: Eukaryota; Viridiplantae; Streptophyta; Magnoliopsida; Malpighiales; Euphorbiaceae.